Molecule: unclassified non-coding RNA, 226 nt
Filed under: plant metagenome
Description: partial contains small subunit ribosomal RNA, internal transcribed spacer 1, and 5.8S ribosomal RNA
Source: RNAcentral
UUUCCGUAGGUGAACCUGCGGAAGGAUCAUUCAUAAUAAAGUGUUUUAUGGCACUUUUUAAAAAUCCAUAUCCACCUUGUGUGCAAUGUUAGAUCUCGUCAAUCUUGGCGAGAUUUUUAUACAUCAACUCAUUCUUUAACUAAUUUGUCUGAAAAAUAUUAUGAAUACUUAAGUCUAAAUACAACUUUCAACAACGGAUCUCUUGGCUUUCGCAUCGAUGAGGAAC